This 934-nucleotide ribosomal RNA is filed under the name Monothalamids sp. RNAcentral describes it as "SSU rRNA". It matches the Rfam family "Eukaryotic small subunit ribosomal RNA", at positions 1160 to 1828 of the family's 1831-position model. The record is from RNAcentral. Lineage: Eukaryota; Foraminifera.
AAGGGCACCACAAGAACGCGUGGAGCAUGUGGCUUAAUUUGACUCAACGCGGGAAAACUUACCGGGUCCGGACACACUGAGGAUUGACAGGCGACCAUUUUGUAAAUAUGCUAGUCCUUUCAUGAUUGUGUGAUAGGUGGUGCAUGGCCGUUCUUAGUUCGUGGAGUGAUCUGUCUGCUUAAUUGCGUUUCAGAUUAAUGGGAAGUAAUGAGCAGGUCAUUGUGUCUCGGUAAAACGAGACAACUUUGUCUGAGCUCUCUUCCUUGAAAGCAACGAACGUGACCGCAGCCCUUUGUUGGAAUCAUCAUUUACGAUUCCUAACUAAGGGGACCGCCAGGUUUUUUAAAACCGGAGGAAGGUUGCGGCAAUAACAGGUCUGUGAUGCCCUUAGAUGUUCCGGGCUGCACACGUGCUACAAUGAUUGUUACAGAAAGUAUCUACUAUUGAUUGUCCUCGAAGACUUUAUUUACAAGUUGGAAAGGACCACGGAUGGUGUCUCGUGUGUCUUGACUUCGGUCAGGUCACGUGAAUGACGACCACCGUGAAACCUACCUCGAAAGUUCGGUAGGCAAUCAAUUCCAAGUGACAAUCUCCCCUGCACAAAUCAAAUGUUGCUGCCGCGAGCCUUUUGUGCUCAACGCAGUUGACAUGUGCUCUAUAAAUUCGUGGUCGGGACAGACCAUUGCUAAUUGUUGGUCUCGGUCUCAACUAGGAAUGCCUUGUACGGGUCUUUGGUUCAACAAACCACCCGGAAUACGUCCCUGCCCUUUGUACACACCGCCCGUCGCUCUUACCGAUGGACUUCUCUGUGAGUUUGAGGGACUGGCGUCCACGCCUCGUGUGUGCGAUGCUAUGGAAACUUAAACGAACAGUGUGGUCUAAAGGAAAGAGAAGUCGUAACAAGGCAUCGGUAGGUGAACCUGCAGAAGGAUCA